CGUGCGUAGGCGGCUCGUUAAGUCAGAUGUGAAAGCCCCGGGCUUAACCUGGGAACGGCAUUUGAUACUGGGUAUCUAGAGUAUGGUAGAGGGGAGUGGAAUUUCAGGUGUAGCGGUGAAAUGCGUAGAGAUCUGAAGGAACACCAGUGGCGAAGGCGGCUCCCUGGACUAAAACUGACGCUGAGGUACGAAAGCGUGGGUAGCAAACAGGAUUAGAUACCCUGGUAGUCCACGCCGUAAACGAUGUCAACUAACUGUUGGGUUCUUAAAGAACUUAGUAGUGGAGCUAACGUAUUAAGUUGACCGCCUGGGGAGUACGGCCGCAAGGCUAAAACUCAAAUGAAUUGACGGGGGCCCGCACAAGCGGUGGAGCAUGUGGUUUAAUUCGAUGCAACGCGAAGAACCUUACCUACCCUUGACAUCCAGAGAAUCUGUUAGAGAUAGCGGAGUGCCUUCGGGAGCUCUGAGACAGGUGCUGCAUGGCUGUCGUCAGCUCGUGUUGUGAAAUGUUGGGUUAAGUCCCGUAACGAGCGCAACCCUUAUCCUUAGUUGCCAGCGAGUCAUGUCGGGAACUCUAGGGAGACUGCCGGUGAUAAACCGGAGGAAGGUGGGGACGACGUCAAGUCAUCAUGGCCCUUAUGGGUAGGGCUACACACGUGCUACAAUGGCCGGUACAGAGGGCUGCGAACUCGCGAGAGUAAGCGAAUCCCAAAAAGCCGGUCCCAGUCCGGAUCGCAGUCUGCAACUCGACUGCGUGAAGUCGGAAUCGCUA
RNAcentral lists this ribosomal RNA (772 nucleotides) under uncultured Methylomonas sp. RNAcentral describes it as "bacterial SSU rRNA". It matches the Rfam family "Bacterial small subunit ribosomal RNA", at positions 566 to 1337 of the family's 1533-position model. The record is from RNAcentral. Lineage: Bacteria; Pseudomonadati; Pseudomonadota; Gammaproteobacteria; Methylococcales; Methylococcaceae.